AUAAUGGGUCAGCGACUUAUAUUCUGUAGCAAGGUUAACCGAAUAGGGGAGCCGAAGGGAAACCGAGUCUUAACUGGGCGUUAAGUUGCAGGGUAUAGACCCGAAACCCGGUGAUCUAGCCAUGGGCAGGUUGAAGGUUGGGUAACACUAACUGGAGGACCGAACCGACUAAUGUUGAAAAAUUAGCGGAUGACUUGUGGCUGGGGGUGAAAGGCCAAUCAAACCGGGAGAUAGCUGGUUCUCCCCGAAAGCUAUUUAGGUAGCGCCUCGUGAAUUCAUCUCCGGGGGUAGAGCACUGUUUCGGCAAGGGGGUCAUCCCGACUUACCAACCCGAUGCAAACUGCGAAUACCGGAGAAUGUUAUCACGGGAGACACACGGCGGGUGCUAACGUCCGUCGUGAAGAGGGAAACAACCCAGACCGCCAGCUAAGGUCCCAAAGUCAUGGUUAAGUGGGAAACGAUGUGGGAAGGCCCAGACAGCCAGGAUGUUGGCUUAGAAGCAGCCAUCAUUUAAAGAAAGCGUAAUAGCUCACUGGUCGAGUCGGCCUGCGCGGAAGAUGUAACGGGGCUAAACCAUGCACCGAAGCUGCGGCAGCGACGCUGAUGCGUUGUUGGGUAGGGGAGCGUUCUGUAAGCCUGUGAAGGUGUGCUGUGAGGCAUGCUGGAGGUAUCAGAAGUGCGAAUGCUGACAUAAGUAACGAUAAAGCGGGUGAAAAGCCCGCUCGCCGGAAGACCAAGGGUUCCUGUCCAACGUUAAUCGGGGCAGGGUGAGUCGACCCCUAAGGCGAGGCCGAAAGGCGUAGUCGAUGGGAAACAGGUUAAUAUUCCUGUACUUGGUGUU
RNAcentral lists this ribosomal RNA (841 nucleotides) under Escherichia coli. RNAcentral describes it as "partial 23S ribosomal RNA". It matches the Rfam family "Bacterial large subunit ribosomal RNA", at positions 612 to 1452 of the family's 2925-position model. Lineage: Bacteria; Pseudomonadati; Pseudomonadota; Gammaproteobacteria; Enterobacterales; Enterobacteriaceae. The record is from RNAcentral.